Molecule: long non-coding RNA, 1494 nt
Filed under: Homo sapiens (human)
Lineage: Eukaryota; Metazoa; Chordata; Mammalia; Primates; Hominidae
Description: non-protein coding lnc-ZNF627-2:5
Source: RNAcentral
GACUCAGUGACCUUUGAGGAUGUGGCUGUGAACUUCACCCAGGAGGAGUGGGCUUUGCUGGGUCCUUCCCAGAAGAAUCUCUACAGAGAUGUGAUGUGGGAAACCUUCAGGAACCUGAUGUCUGUAGGUGAAGACCAGAUCAUUGAAGAUCAGUACAAUAAUUCCAAAAGAAAUCUAAGAAGUCAUAUGGUAGAGAGAGUCUGAAGGUAAGGAAGAUGGUCAAUGUGAAGAGAUCUUCAGCCUUGUUCCAAAUGGUAUAGUGAAGACGACUUUUACUGGAGUCAAAUCAUGUGAAAGCAGUGUGUGUGAAGAAGGCAAUAUGGAUCAUUCAUCUCUUAAUUGCUGCAUCAGAGCUGACACUGGACACAAAUCAGAUGAGUGUCAGCAACAUAGAAGCCACAUAAGCAGUGUGUGAAAACCUUCAGCUAUUGCCACUCCUUUCAAACACAUGAAAGGCCUCACACUGGAAAGAAACUCCAUGUAAGAAAUGUGGAAAAACCUUCAUUUCUGUUCAAACCUUUUGAAGAUACAUGGUAAUGCACAGUGAAGAUGAACCUUAUAAAUGUAAGUUUUGUGGGAAGGCCUUUGAUAAUCUACAUUUAUAUCUUACACAUGAAAGAACUCACACUGGAGAGAAACCCUAUGAAUGUAAUAAAUGUGGGAAAGCCUUCAGUUGUUCCAGUUCCAUUCGAAAACAUGCAAGAAUUCACACUGGAGAGAAACCCUAUAUAUGUAAACAAUGUGGCAAAGCCUUUAGAUAUUCCAGUUCUAUUCGAAAUCAUGAAAACACUCACACUGGUGAAAAACCCUGUGAAUGUAAGCAAUGUGGGAAAGCCUUUAGUUAUUCCAGUUACUUUCGAAUACAUGAAAGAAUUCACACUGGAGAGCAGGUGUAUAAAUGUAAGGAAUGUGGGAAAACAUUCACUUAUCCCAGUGCCUUUCAUAAACAUAAAAGUACCCACACUUCACAGAAACUUUAUGAAUGUAAGGAAUGUGGGAAAGCAUUUGAUUGUUUUAGUUCCUUUCAUAGUCAUGAAGGGGUUCACACUGGAGAGAAACCCUAUGAAUGCAGAACGUGGAAAAGCCUUCAGUAGUUCUAAGUACUUAAAAAUACAUGGAAGAACUCACACUGGAGAGAAGUCCUAUGCAGUAAAGAAUGAGGGAAAGUAUUUUAUUGUCUCAGUCCCCUUCAAAGACAUGAAAGGACUCACAUCAGAGAAAAGUUGUAUGAAUGUAAAAAAUGUGAUAAAGCCUUCCAUUCGUCCAGUACUGUUAGAAACCAUGAAAGAAGUCACAUUUAAGAAAAACACAGUGAUGUUAGGAAUAUGGGGAACCUUUCCUUUCUCUUCCAGUCUUUGGAAGGCACAGGGUAUGACACACUGGUGACCUUAUAACUGUAAGGAGUGUGGAUAAGUAUUUAUUAGUCCUUGUGUGUUUUAGAUACAUGAAAGAAUUUACUCAAAAGGAAACUCUAUGAAUGUAAAGAAUGUGGUA